This is a long non-coding RNA of Heterocephalus glaber (naked mole-rat), 700 nucleotides long. RefSeq lists it as uncharacterized. The record is from RefSeq and is a predicted model, not a curated record. Lineage: Eukaryota; Metazoa; Chordata; Mammalia; Rodentia; Bathyergidae.
GAAGUUCAAAGUGCCAGCAUCAAGGAAGGCCACUCAGACCUGAAGCCUGAUCGUCUCCCAGCCUCAAAAGCUAGACUGAGCAACUUCAACAGUCAAACAAAAUCACGGAAAAUUAAAGGCUCAAAAGUCUUGCUGAAUUCCAGGAGGAAAAUGUUUCAUUUUACACAAUAACCAUCUGAAGAUCUGCUUUUCCCUGAGGAACACUUCCAAACUAUGUGAAAUAAAUCAGGUCUCCCCAGUGCUGUGUCAGAUUUGAGGAAGAGAAUGGACCACACAAAAAUAAGAAAAGAGAACUGCAGAUGGAAGGGAUCCUUGGUGACAUUUUCCCCAUUAGAGGCCAGGCGAUAUAAAGGCCUCUGUUCAGGAAACAAGAGAGGGAGGAGGCGACUCCCCAAAAAGGAAGACAGCAGCUCAGAGGAAGGCGGGCUGAGACCUGGUCCACUCACCUCUGGCCAUUUGUGACUUACUAAAAUAACCUCUACUCCACUAACAGGCUGGAACCACUGGAAACACUUUGGCCCAGCAUGUCAUGCCAUGCUCUCUCUGCCAUCUGCACUUUAGGUACUGCUAUGAUAAAGGUCUUUGCUAACUUAAUCUACUAUGGACAUGUAAUGCUGGUGGCCUCAACAAAAUGUUUUUCUUGGAAAAAAUAAAGUAAAUCUUUUAUAAUAUUUUUAUCCUAAGAUUUUAUGCUAAGAUA